RNAcentral lists this long non-coding RNA (274 nucleotides) under Mytilus galloprovincialis (Mediterranean mussel). Lineage: Eukaryota; Metazoa; Mollusca; Bivalvia; Mytilida; Mytilidae. The record is from RNAcentral.
ACGUGUUGGUUUAAUCUAUUCGUUUCUUUAUUUUUGUUUACAUCGCUUAUAUGGUCAUCUGAGGUCAAAUCGAUAGUAAAUUAGAUGGCGUCUGGACUAAAAUACACACGAAACGAACCUAUAUAUUAUCUACCCCAUGCUCUGUAAACUGUUUAUUUUAGACUUUUGAUAGUUUGGAUAAAUGUUUUACAUUGUUAUAAACCAAAUAUGAGAAUUUGAGUCAAAUCGGUUACAAUGAAUUUGACAGCUAGUGCCCCUUUAACAUUUAAAUCAA